GCGUCGGUGGUUCAGUGGUAGAAUACUCGCCUACCACGCAGGUCACCCAGGUUCAAUUCCCGGCUGACGCA
Molecule: transfer RNA, 71 nt
Filed under: Rhipicephalus microplus (southern cattle tick)
Lineage: Eukaryota; Metazoa; Arthropoda; Arachnida; Ixodida; Ixodidae
Description: tRNA-Gly
Rfam family: tRNA
About the family: Transfer RNA (tRNA) molecules are approximately 80 nucleotides in length. Their secondary structure includes four short double-helical elements and three loops (D, anti-codon, and T loops). Further hydrogen bonds mediate the characteristic L-shaped molecular structure. tRNAs have two regions of fundamental functional importance: the anti-codon, which is responsible for specific mRNA codon recognition, and the 3' end, to which the tRNAs corresponding amino acid is attached (by aminoacyl-tRNA synthetases). tRNAs cope with the degeneracy of the genetic code in two manners: having more than one tRNA (with a specific anti-codon) for a particular amino acid; and 'wobble' base-pairing, i.e. permitting non-standard base-pairing at the 3rd anti-codon position.
Source: Rfam by way of RNAcentral